This 90-nucleotide transfer-messenger RNA is filed under the name Clostridioides difficile. RNAcentral describes it as "partial transfer-messenger RNA". It matches the Rfam family "transfer-messenger RNA", at positions 286 to 374 of the family's 374-position model. Rfam says of the family: Bacterial tmRNA, also known as 10Sa RNA or SsrA, is named for its dual tRNA and mRNA-like properties. Its role is to liberate the mRNA from a stalled ribosome. The record is from RNAcentral. Lineage: Bacteria; Bacillati; Bacillota; Clostridia; Peptostreptococcales; Peptostreptococcaceae.
GAGGUGAGAUAUUAGUGAAGUUGGCUAAGCAUGUAGAUGCAGCAAGGAAAAGAUUUGCGGACAGGGGUUCGACUCCCCUCGUCUCCACCA